GAAGAGCCUCGCCGGGCGUGGUUGGUCCCAAGCUUUGACCAUUUCUGCCUCGGCCUCUUCGACGACCGCGUACGCUCAAAAUCCAGCCGGUCGCCUUCGAGCUUGGCCACCUCUGCCGGUCGCCUCCAAGCUUGGCCACCUCUGCCGUUGCCGUCAAGAGCCACUCGCUCCCAAGAACCCCGCCGGUCGUGGUUGGGUCCCGACCAUGUCCGCCUUGGCCUCUUCAGCGAGCGUGGACACCAAAAGCCCGCUGCUUGCCUCCAAGCUCGAUCGCCUCCGCUGUCACCGCCAGGAGCUACCCGCUCCGAAGAGCCCCGUCGGUCGUGGCUGCAUCCCAAGCUAUGACCUUCUCCGCCUGUGCCUCCUCGGUGAUCGCGGACACCCAAAAGCUCACCGGGCGCGUCCGAGCUCGGCCGCGCCGUUGCCACUUUCUCCACGGGUCUUGGCUAGGUCCCAAGCUGUAAUCGUCUUCUCCUUGCCUUCUUCAGCAAGUGCAGACACCCGAAAGCCCACCAGUCCAGUGGCCUCCGAGCUGCAAGGCAGUUAAACAAAACCUUGCAAUGCAUUUUUCUCUGAUGGCGUGGGCACUGAAAUGCUACUGGAGCUACUAGGAAAAACUGAAACGUACCGAGAUCAAUGUGCUGAAAUUCUGAAAGGUCCCAUAUGUUUAGAGAGUAUUGAGAUGGUUCUUCAAGAAAUGGACAGUUUCACUGUCAAUUUCCCAGAGUUCAAACUUCUGAGGGAAUAUCAUAUGCAAGCUAGUUCUUGGAUAUCCCGCUUCAACCGUUUGCGGGUGAACAUUGGCGAAAGAGUUGAUCAAGACAAUGUCGUAGAGGAGUUGACCAACAUACUAAAAGAUGCAGUGUCUCUGAAAAUUCAAGUUAGAGAAUUGCCUCUUGUUGAGCUUGAGCUGAAGAAGGCUUGUUGCAGGGCAAAGGCUCUACAGGCUCGUUCAGAUUAAAGGACCUUGAACUUCCUUCAGCAACUAUUGAUUGAAGCUGUCGGACUACAGAUUGAAGGCGAAAACUUGUUUGUCUAUAUUUCUGGGCUUGUUGAUGCUGCUACACGUUGGGAAGAAAGUGCAGUGCAGAUUCUAGCUCUGGAGGCUCAGCUGCCUGAAUAUGAGGAAGUUCUGAGGAGUUCGGAGGACAUUCAUGUGAUCUUGCCUUCUUUACCUCAUAUCAUCUCGACAAUUACAAUGUCUAAGUCUUGGUUGAAGAAUUCGGAACCAUUUUUGGGGUCUGCUCACACGAAUAGGGGAUCACCAAGUUUGUUGCUUGAAGUCGAUAAAUUGAAGUGGAGGAUACAGGGAUAGGUAUUCCUCCAGAGGCGCAAUCCCGUGUUUUCACUCCUUUCAUGCAAGUGCGCCCAUCAAUUUCUCGAACACAUGGGGGCACAGGUAUUGGGCUAAGCAUAAGCAAAUGUCUGGUUGGCCUCAUGAAUGGGGAGAUUGGAUUUGUAAGCAUACCCCAGGUGGGAUCCACGUUUACCUUUACUGCAGUUUUCAAUGAUGCCUGUUCUACCUCAAAAGAGUGCAAGGGCCAGCAAGUGAAAGGACAAGGUGACUCUGGCACCUCAGAAUUUCAUGGUAUCAAAGCAGUGGUAGUUGACACAAGACCUGUCCGUGCCAAUGUAUGAAAGUAUCAUAUCCAGAGGCUUGGUAUUCAUGUUGAGGUAGUUGCAGACUUGAACCAGUGCUUCCACACCAUACAAAGUGGGAAUUGCAGAAUAGAUAUGGUGCUCUUGGAAUGGGAAAUUUGGGACAAGGACUCUGGUUUGUCGGCAAUCUUUCUGGAUAAAUUGAGGGACAUGAAGCCACGGGUGUCUCCACGGUUGUUUCUUCUAUCUAAUUCUAUCAGCUCUAGUGGGAUGAGUGGUGCGACUACAGAUGCUACUGGUCCAUCUGUGAUCAUGAAGCCUCUAAGGGCUAGUAUGCUGGUGGCGUCUUUACAGCGCGUCAUGGGAGUUGAAAACCGAAUAAGUUGCUCCAAUGGGGAGUCUCCGAGUCUGUCUCUCCGCAACCUUCUCCGUGGCAGAAAAAUCCUAGUCGUGGAUGACAACAAAGUAAAUCUCAGAGUGGCCGAGGGAGCUUUGAGGAAAUAUGGAGGUGAUGUGGUUUGUACGGACAGUGGGGAAAAAGCAAUUGCUUUGCUCAGACCACUGCAUGAUUUUGAUGCCUGCUUCAUGGAUAUCCAGAUGCCAGGAAUGGAUGGGUGGUGAUAAUGGAUACGUGCAUCUAAUGGUUCUAUAAUUCCUUUGAUCAGAUUUGAAGCUACAAAAAGAAUUUGACAGAUGGAACAAAGUCCGAGCAAGGAAUUCCUACCGGGACAGUCAUCCUCAGAGCCACGUGAAAAUAUCUCGAAUUUCCACCUAUUGAUCUUGGCCAUGACUGCAGAUGUGAUUCACGCUACUCAUGAAGAAUGCACAAAGUAUGGAAUGGACGGAUAUGUUUCAAAGCCCUUUGAAGCGGAACAACUUUUUAGAGAAGUUUCGCUCCUUUUCCUGGUCAUCACUGAAUCGAAACUUGUAGAGAGGCCACCAUAGAUGGCUAAUUGUUUUGGUGAGCAGAAGUCUUGGUUGUUUAGGCACUUUGGCAGCCUUACCGGUGAACUUUUGAAUUCUUUAACAAGAGUGUCUUGUCACGGGAGCAUAUACAUAAAGAAGCUAAGGUCACCUGCUGGAGUUGAAUUUUCAUUGAUUUCCCUACGAGUGGCAUAUUGGUUUAAAACCACUUCAAGUAUUUUUUUUGUACAACUGAUCUGAACCGUUUGCAAGAUGACGAUUGGUAAUUAGGCGAUCUGAAGUUCGCCAAUUGAACUCUGGAUUGAUGGCUGCUUGGAAAUGGUGCAGGAAUCUCUUCGACAUAGGUGCAUAUCUAUAGACUAGACCCUAAUAGUGUGUACAUGUGUCACGGGCCAAAAGUGAGCCCAUCCCAGAGGUUUCUAGAGGACGAUCGCGACUCACCCCUGGACCUCCUACUUUCACUCGGAUUCCCAUCAAGUCUUCUCCCCGAAGUUUCCAAGGGCGGGCGACACCGUCAUUACGUUUGAUUCUAGAAGUCUCUUAUGUUAUUUAUGUCGGAAGACGGUAGUUAGCAUUUAUGUUAGUAGUUGAUGGCUAUCAUUUAUGUUGGUGGUGAGUAGCCACCAUCAGUGUCGGUAGUUGAGCCGGUGCAAUCUCGUCAGAUCAGAUUUAGAUCAACGGAUGUAAUUAGAGGGCCUCGAGUAUAAGAGGGGUGCCCUCCCCCUCAUUUGUAUCUAUCUAGCUAUUUUAGUUUAUAAAAGUUCAUUUCUUUUCA
RNA transcript from Eucalyptus grandis, 3298 nucleotides. It is a transcript of the gene named histidine kinase 3-like, with no coding region annotated. The transcript is spliced from 10 exons. The record is from RefSeq and is a predicted model, not a curated record. NCBI's taxonomy places the organism in Eukaryota, Viridiplantae, Streptophyta, Magnoliopsida, Myrtales, Myrtaceae.